UAAAGAAUUUCGGUAUGGGAUGGGGAUGCGUUCCAUUAGUUAGUUGGCGGGGUAACGGCCCACCAAGACAACGAUGGAUAGGGGUUCUGAGAGGAAGGUCCCCCACAUUGGAACUGAGACACGGUCCAAACUCCUACGGGAGGCAGCAGUGAGGAAUAUUGGUCAAUGGACGAGAGUCUGAACCAGCCAAGUAGCGUGAAGGAUGACUGCCCUAUGGGUUGUAAACUUCUUUUAUAUGGGAAUAAAAUGUUCCACGUGUGGGAUUUUGUAUGUACCAUAUGAAUAAGGAUCGGCUAACUCCGUGCCAGCAGCCGCGGUAAUACGGAGGAUCCGAGCGUUAUCCGGAUUUAUUGGGUUUAAAGGGAGCGUAGGUGGAUUGUUAAGUCAGUUGUGAAAGUUUGCGGCUCAACCGUAAAAUUGCAGUUGAAACUGGCAGUCUUGAGUACAGUAGAGGUGGGCGGAAUUCGUGGUGUAGCGGUGAAAUGCUUAGAUAUCACGAAGAACUCCGAUUGCGAAGGCAGCUCACUGGACUGCAACUGACACUGAGGCUCGAAAGUGUGGGUAUCAAACAGGAUUAGAUACCCUGGUAGUCCACACAGUAAACGAUGAAUACUCGCUGUUUGCGAUAUACGGCAA
Molecule: ribosomal RNA, 636 nt
Filed under: uncultured bacterium
Lineage: Bacteria
Description: bacterial SSU rRNA
Rfam family: Bacterial small subunit ribosomal RNA
Source: RNAcentral